Molecule: ribosomal RNA, 406 nt
Filed under: uncultured bacterium
Lineage: Bacteria
Description: partial 16S ribosomal RNA
Rfam family: Bacterial small subunit ribosomal RNA
Source: RNAcentral
AUUGAACGCUGGCGGCAGGCCUAACACAUGCAAGUCGAACGAGUGGCGGACGGGUGUGUAAUGUCUGUGAAACUGCCCGCUGGAGGGGGGUAACUACUGGAAACGGUAUCUAAUACCGCCUACCCUCUGAUGUGUCCAGAUGGGAUUAGCUAGUAGGUGGGGUAACGGCUCACCUAGGCGACGAGCCCUAGCUGGUCUGAGUGGAUGACCAGCCACACGGGAACUGAGAAACGGUCCAGACUCCUACGGGAGGCAGCAGUGGGGAAUAUUGCACAAUGGGCGCAAGCCUGAUGCAGCCAUGCCGCAUGUAUGAAGAAGGCCUUCGGGUUGUAAAGUACUUUCAGCGAGGAGGCGUUACUCGCAGAAGAAGCACCGGCUAACUCCGUGCCAGCAGCCGCGGUAAUAC